AUAGCAUACCACAUUGUGUAUUUGGAUUGCAUCCCAAAGUUGGUUCCUUUUCUAUAUGAUCAGAGUCUUGCAGGAUAUUGCCUUAAUAUUAUGAAGUCCUUGUGUGAUAUUGAGGAAGGUAAGAAUGCAGUUGCUGAAACUAAUUCUUGCGUUGCUUCAAUUGUCACUCUUCUGGAAACUGGUAGCAAGCAUGAGCAANNNNNNNNAUGGAAGUUCUACUGUCUCUAUGCUAUGAGCACAUUGAACAUUGUCAACAGAUCAUGGGAGAAGGUACUGUAAAAUCUUUGAUCAAUAUGUCUGUUAAUGGGAAUCCAAGAGUAAAGGUUAUUGCCUCAGAAUUGCUCCAGAUUUUGGGGCAUACAACAGAAGGUGAUGUCUCAAAUUGUUCUACAUUUAGUGCUGGCUUGAGCAUGGGCAUCUCCAGUGACUCUGGCAGUGGUAAUCAUAUUAAAGUGAAAAAAUCACCUUCCAAGGGAUUUGGAUAUCUGGGAAGAAAAAUUGCGAGACUUUUUCACCACAGUCGUUAGUGAGAAAUUGUCUACUGAGAGUUCAUGUGGUGGGG
Molecule: unclassified non-coding RNA, 562 nt
Filed under: Hevea brasiliensis (rubber tree)
Lineage: Eukaryota; Viridiplantae; Streptophyta; Magnoliopsida; Malpighiales; Euphorbiaceae
Source: RNAcentral